Molecule: long non-coding RNA, 2874 nt
Filed under: Lucilia cuprina (Australian sheep blowfly)
Lineage: Eukaryota; Metazoa; Arthropoda; Insecta; Diptera; Calliphoridae
Description: uncharacterized LOC111679301, transcript variant X2
Source: RNAcentral
UUCAUUUGAAAAUUUUCAAAAUUUAGUUUUUAGUCGCCAUUUAAAGCGUCAAGGUGUACGCGUUCGUUCUCGUAAUUUUCGUUUAAUUUACACGGGGAUUUUUUGUUUAAAAUACAUUAUUUUCGCGCUUAAUUUCUUUUAAAAACUUACCUGUUUUUUUUGUACGUGUAUUAUUUAAAACGAUUUGAUAAAUAUGAAAUGAUACAAAAGUCAUUUUGUCAACAUACAGUACGAGUCAAAAGUAAAACUACGUUGAAGACAACAACACUAUACAAAAGCAAAAAUAUACUUAAAAAUGUAAAAAAAGAGAGAGAAAAUAAUUUUAAAGUAAAAAACUCUCUAAAGAGAGCAAGUGUAAGAAACCGGGUUUAUUUUGAAGUUUCUAAACAAAAUCCAAUAAAAAUUGAAAAUUUACAAGUCUGAAAAAAGUUGAAAAUUUCUAAAUUUUUUUUUAAUAUUUACUUCUAGUGAUAAAAAAGUUCUUGAAAUAAAACUCUCAGAAUUCAUGUAGUUUUUGUCAAUAUUUAUUUGUUUUUAAAAGUUUUUAUUAAAAUUUUCUAAUAAUUUCAAUAUAAAAGUUUUAGUUGAUGUGAAUAAGAUGUUAUGUUUGCUAUUAUCUAAAUAGUAGUAAACACAACUAAAUAUUAAAAGCUUUACUACUAUAUACAAAGUAUUUUUGGGAGUUUUUAGCUGAAACAAAAUUAAGCUAAAGAAAGUUAAAGAAGGAAUUUGGAGAUUUUCAGUUUUCAUAAAACAUUUUCUUUCAGAAAAAGAGUAAUUUGUUUACAGUAAACAAAUUUGUUUUACAGUAACAAAUUUUGGUUUCCUAUAAGACAAUUGGAGAAAAGUGUUUUAAAACUUUAGAUUACAAAGAGAAAAGUGAUUGAAAAAGUAGGUUUAAUAAACUGAAUGAAUAGACUUUAACAUUAACUUUUAAACACUAAAAGCUUUUACAAGAAACUGGAGUUUAAAACAAAAAACAAAGAUUGGUUUUAAAGCUCACAGUUUGAGAUAAAAGUUUAAACUAGUUUUGAAAAAGUAAAGUUAUAAGAAAGACCGGUUUCUGAAUGAAAUUUGAUGAAGUCUCCAGAGCGAUAUAUAAAAGAUUUAGAGUUUAAGUUAAAAGUUAAAACUUUAGAAAUAUAUUUUAAAAAAAGGUUUAAAAACAGAGUUUAAACUAAGAGAAUAUAGAAAACAUGUAACUGAUUUCUUAAGGAGUGUUUAAGAAAAGCUUUAAAGCUUUUAAUAAAAGUUUAAAAAAUCGGUUGCUAAAGUGAAAGUUUAACAAGAGAGUUUAAACUAAAAGUCACUUAUAAAAAAAAGCUUUUUACUGAUUCAUGAUUCAAUAAAAGCUUGCGAAGCUUGUUUAAAAUCACUAACAGAAACUUUAAGAAAGCUUAAAGUUAAUAGUUUAUACUGUAGAUUAUUAAGAUAGGUGUUUAAAGAGAAUCGGGUUUUAACAUAAAAGUUUUAAAAGAGAGUGCUAUAAGGAAGCUUUUUACUGAAACUGGUUAAAAAAAAGCUUUUCAACAUGUUAUAAACUUAAUGGAGUCUCUGAUAUCAAAACAAAUUAAAGGCUUGUGAGCAUACAGAGAAAGUUUAAACUAAGAGUUUAAAAAAAAAAUUAAAGAGUACUUUACUAAAGUAAAGCACAAAAGAUCGGCUUCUAAGUAUAAAGUUGAAGAAAGAGAUACGGUUUUUAGGAAAACUUUAACUAUAUCAGUUUUUAAACAAAUUUACGAUUUGUGAGCUCAGAACGUUUAUGAAACGAAAAUUUAUAGAAAAUAGUUUUUGAAAAAGUUUCCAAACAAAAUGGAGUCUUAGAUAUAGAAAUAAAAGAUCGGUUUCCUAAUAUAAUAUUAAAGAAAAGGAGCCGGUUUUUGGGAAAAGUUUAACACGAUCACUUUUAACCGGAAUGAACGUCUAAAGUUAUAACUUGAAGUUUAAUUGAAAAAGUUCAAAACACCGGAAGGGAGAGAGAGGGAGAGAAGGGAGAGAGUGUAACCGAGAGUGUUUAGAGUUUAGCUGCUUGAUAAAACCGGUUUCUUAGUUAAAUUUUAAUUAAUUUUACUUAUUUUAGUUUAAUAAAUUUAAAAGAAACUUGAGUUGAGUUUGUAUUUUUUUCUAAAUUUAUUUUAAAAUAUAUUUUUUUCACUCUCUUUUAACUUAAAGAGAAUAUAUGUGAUCAUUCUCUUUUAACUUAAAAAGAAAGUAUAUUUUUGCUUUGUUCGCUGGCUGAUCUUCACUGCAAUUAAGGAGUUGCUGUUGUUUGUCGCAGAAUUGUUUGAAUUAACAGGUUUGCUUUAUAAAUUUAUUAAAGAAUUGCUAAAAAAAAAACUUAAAAUAAAAUAUUUAAAAAUCUUUACAGGUUAUGCAGAGAUCACAAAAACACCACUAAAGUAAAAGAGAGUUAUGACGAGAGAGCGAAGGAGGGAGUAAGAGAGAGAGAGAACAAACGAUCUUUAGUUUAUGUAAAUAUGCGUCAUCUUUAACAAACAAAUUGAUGGACAUUUGUCAAACACCUAGAGACCCUGACAGCAGCAUGUUAUUAAGAAAUCUGUUUUUGUAUUUUUUUUUUUUGUUUCUUGUUAUUUGUUUCGCUUCAAUUAAUUAAUCAAGACAAGAGGCGAUGAUCAUUAGAUUAAAAACAGAACAUUUUUAUUGCCACAUGACAAUCAUAAUGUGAAUCAUUUAAAAUGUUUAUGGUCAUUAUUUUUGCUUGCCAAAAAAAAAAGCAGACAACAUAUUGUUUGUUGCUUUCAAGCAACAAAAAAUUAAUUUGUAAUUUUAAUUUUUUUCAUGUAAGUAUAAUUUUUUCUCUAUUAAAUAAACAAAAAUCUAAAGAUUUCAAUAAAAAAUUGUUUUUCUUCAAAA